GUCCACGCCCUAAACGAUGGAUACUAAGUAGGGACCCUGCAAGGGGUUCCUUGCCGGAGCAAAAGCGUUAAGUAUCCCGCCUGGGGAGUAUGGUCGCAAGGCUGAAACUCAAAAGAAUUGACUGGGGCUCACACAAGCGGUGGAGCAUGUUGCUUAAUUCGAUGCAACGCGAAGAACCUUACCCGGGCUCGAAGUGUACGGAUUAGCUCUAUGAAAGUAGAGUGACACCUUAACCGGUGGAACGUAUAAAGGUGUUGCAUUGCUGUCGU
RNAcentral lists this ribosomal RNA (269 nucleotides) under uncultured bacterium. RNAcentral describes it as "partial 16S ribosomal RNA". It matches the Rfam family "Bacterial small subunit ribosomal RNA", at positions 793 to 1055 of the family's 1533-position model. The record is from RNAcentral.